GUGGGGAAUAUUGGACAAUGGGGGCAACCCUGAUCCAGCCAUGCCGCGUGUGUGAAGAAGGUCUUCGGAUUGUAAAGCACUUUAAGUUGGGAGGAAGGGCAGUAAGUUAAUACCUUGCUGUUUUGACGUUACCGACAGAAUAAGCACCGGCUAACUUCGUGCCAGCAGCCGCGGUAAUACGAAGGGUGCAAGCGUUAAUCGGAAUUACUGGGCGUAAAGCGCGCGUAGGUGGUUUUGUAAGUUGGAGGUGAAAUCCGCGGGCUCAACCUGGGAACUGCCUCCAAAACUGCAUGACUAGAGUACGGUAGAGGGUAGUGGAAUUUCCUGUGUAGCGGUGAAAUGCGUAGAUAUAGGAAGGAACACCAGUGGCGAAGGCGACUACCUGGACUGAUACUGACACUGAGGUGCGAAAGCGUGGGGAGCAAACAGGAUUAGAUACCCGAGUAGUCC
RNAcentral lists this ribosomal RNA (450 nucleotides) under uncultured bacterium. RNAcentral describes it as "bacterial SSU rRNA". It matches the Rfam family "Bacterial small subunit ribosomal RNA", at positions 354 to 796 of the family's 1533-position model. The record is from RNAcentral.